Molecule: ribosomal RNA, 240 nt
Filed under: uncultured bacterium
Lineage: Bacteria
Description: partial 16S ribosomal RNA
Rfam family: Bacterial small subunit ribosomal RNA
Source: RNAcentral
GAUCCUGGCUCAGGAUGAACGCUAGCUACAGGCUUAACACAUGCAAGUCGAGGGGGCGAGCAUGGUCUUAGCUUGCUAAGGCCGAUGGCGACCGGCGCACGGGUGAGUAACGCGUAUCCAACCUGCCUUACACUCUUGGACAGCCUUCUGAAAGGGAGAUUAAUACAAGAUGUUAUCAUGGGUAAGCAUUUUCACAUGAUUAAAGGUUUACCGGUGUAAGAUGGGGAUGCGUUCCAUUAG